AUGGAGAGUCUCCUCCAUUGGGAUUUCUCUCCGGGCUUGGCGAUUGAAUCUCAGGUACGUGCCAAGUUUGGAUCUUCGGUGCACUUCUCCUCGGCAAACCCUGGAUCCUCAAAGGAAUUCUUCCUUGUGGUUUCUUUCUCGUCGGCUUCUUUCAAGUUGACAGAGGAAUCUGUGGCCCUAGCGCUCCAAUCUUGCAUUGGCGGCCUCGCUUCAAAACUUAGGGUUUUGCAACUAAGUGAUCGUCGCUUUCGUUUCUCGGUUGCAUCCAACCGUGUGGGACACUUUAUUUAUGGUCUUAAGGAUCGGAUUUGGCCAGAUUUUAUCUGUCAUUUUCAUCUGUUUUGUGGUGUCCCUGAUCACGCUGGUGUUCAUCAUGAAGUUGGUUGGCAUGUGGAUAGUUUUCUCCAUGAGGUGGGGUCUCGUUCUUUGGCCAUCAAAUCUAAAUGGCUCCAAGAUCAACAAAGUAAAUUUGACCAGCAGAACUCAGUUGCUAAACAUUUAGUGAAUUUACAUGAUCAAACACAAAGCUCCUCGCCGGAGUGCAGUAGGCAGCCAGCCGCCGAUGGAAUCUUUUUUUGGGCAGUUCAAAUUUCCGGUAAUUGCGGAUCAGGAGCUGAAUAUCCGUUUGGGAGAUUUUAUUUGUUCUGGAAAGCAAAAUCUGCAUGUCCUGCCUUCUUUCAAGGGACAUCGUUUUCGUGA
This 699-nucleotide ribosomal RNA is filed under the name Triticum aestivum (bread wheat). RNAcentral's name for it is "partial small subunit ribosomal RNA". The record is from RNAcentral. Lineage: Eukaryota; Viridiplantae; Streptophyta; Magnoliopsida; Poales; Poaceae.